Molecule: ribosomal RNA, 465 nt
Filed under: uncultured bacterium
Lineage: Bacteria
Description: partial 16S ribosomal RNA
Rfam family: Bacterial small subunit ribosomal RNA
Source: RNAcentral
CUACGGGUUGCUGCAGUCGAGAAUCAUUCGCAAUGCGCGAAAGCGUGACGAUGCGACGCUGCGUGGAGGAUGAAGGCCCUCGGGUCGUAAACUCCUGUCAGGAGGGAAAAGCCGGCACUUGGUCAAUACCCUUGUGCCCCGUUGGUACCUCCAGAGGAAGCCACGGCUAACUCUGUGCCAGCAGCCGCGGUAAUACAGAGGUGGCGAGCGUUGUUCGGAUUUACUGGGCGUAAAGGGUGCGUAGGCGGCGUGCAAAGCUGGAUGUGAAAUCCCGGGGCUCAACCCCGGAACUGCAUCCGGAACUGGCAUGCUAGAGAGCGGGAGGGGAGAGCAGAAUUCUAGGCGUAGCGGUGAAAUGCGUUGAUAUCUAGAAGAAUACCGGUGGCGAAGGCGGCUCUCUGGAAUGGUUCUGACGCUGAGGCACGAAAGCGUGGGGAGCAAACAGGAUUAGAUACCCGGGUAGUC